CCUACGGGUGGCAGCAGUGAGGAAUAUUGGUCAAUGGACGAGAGUCUGAACCAGCCAAGUAGCGUGAAGGAUGACUGCCCUAUGGGUUGUAAACUUCUUUUAUAUGGGAAUAAAACGUUCCACGUGUGGGAUUUUGUAUGUACCAUAUGAAUAAGGAUCGGCUAACUCCGUGCCAGCAGCCGCGGUAAUACGGAGGAUCCGAGCGUUAUCCGGAUUUAUUGGGUUUAAAGGGAGCGUAGGUGGAUUGUUAAGUCAGUUGUGAAAGUUUGCGGCUCAACCGUAAAAUUGCAGUUGAAACUGGCAGUCUUGAGUACAGUAGAGGUGGGCGGAAUUCGUGGUGUAGCGGUGAAAUGCUUAGAUAUCACGAAGAACUCCGAUUGCGAAGGCAGUUCACUGGACUGCAACUGACACUGAGGCUCGAAAGUGUGGGUAUCAAACAGGAUUAGAUACCCUUGUAUC
RNAcentral lists this ribosomal RNA (459 nucleotides) under uncultured bacterium. RNAcentral's name for it is "partial 16S ribosomal RNA". It matches the Rfam family "Bacterial small subunit ribosomal RNA", at positions 338 to 795 of the family's 1533-position model. The record is from RNAcentral.